AAAGAAAUCAUUAUUUCGCUUCAAAUUUGUGGUCACACAUUGCAUUUUUCAUGAAGGAAACUUCCACUUGUUGCUUCUCGUGUUAUUGCCCUCAAAGUGUUUGCUUUAAUUCCUCUUUUCGUUUUUUCUUGUCAUGAGCAGAUGACUCUAUAUUCAACGUGUCUGCUUUAAAUAGGCGCAAACCUCACAGUGCUUCUGCUGCAGAUGCCCUCAAAGUGUUUGCUUUAAUGUCCGAUCAUCCCACUUCCAUAGAAGUACUUCACUUAGUAUCAACGAUUACUACAACAUCACGUACGUUAUUGCCUCGCCAGCUCACCGUAUUCAUUCCAAUCACGCCAUAAGAUACGAGUAUACCACCAUCAUGCGAAAAGGGAUCCAACGCCACUUGACAUCCGUCCCCGAUAUGGACCUCAUCAAGAUUCGUGCACAACCACUAUUCCUUUAACGCGACCUGCCAGUUCUUGACGACACUCUUGCCGACCUCCUCGCGCUCAUCCAUAUGACCCCUUCUCUCAAAAAGAGCGGACGCCUCUCGCUCUCGCUCUCGCUCUCGCUCGACCCUCCUGAUUUCAUUUCUCGAAGCCAAAGGCAGCCGCCAUUCGCAGAAGACAUCAUGGACACCCAGGUCCUCCAUCUCGCCGUAGCGGAGCUCGACGGCGACUCCUUCGUCGCUGGCUUUGCCUACUACGUUCGCUGCAAAACCCUAAUCCAGCUUCUAGACUUCGCCCAGCGCGAGGGUACCCGUACGGGACGCGGAGGAGGAGGAUGGUGAACGGGCCAUUCUUGUUGGGCGUCGGAGGAAGACCCAUGGGGCUUGCCGAUUCCUGCGAGGUUGCCUCCGCUGCAAACGGUUCUUGACGGCUUGGCGACCUGUCAAUGGAUCGAGGAGUUCUUUGGUAAAGAAAACGUUAAUACAACUUGUGAUGUACAGGACAUGCUUGGGGAACAAUGAUUCAACAAGUAUUCGAUCGGUGGCUUUGGGGAUGGCACCGAAGAGUUCCAUCUCACAAACUCGUAAUGCUGAUUGGGGUCAGUUAACACCUUAAAGAAAGGGUUUCCUACUUACUAAUCCCUCUCUCCUAAGCGGUAGUUUACAAAUAAAAGGAUCUAUUUUUUCAUAAAGCUGAUGGUGGAUUAGAGCUCUGAGGCUCACUUUUGUCCAAUUCUCAAGCCAAAUCAUUCUGACUGACUGGAUGGGAUGCUAAACUAUAUGAACAAGCUUUCAAAUAUGGGUUGAAAUUUGCUUAAAGAAGACAUGUACAUGAAUAUCUGAAUCAUGGGUGGUGGUGUUUUACAGUUAUUUAAGCUUGUUGUGGUACCCCAAAAACAAAAACAAAAAAAAUCAUAUUUGUUGAGAUUGUUGGUAAUGGUAAUGAUUUGAAAGAGAUUAUAUCUUGUUUUCCUGGAUUCAAA
Molecule: long non-coding RNA, 1413 nt
Organism: Musa acuminata subsp. malaccensis (wild Malaysian banana)
Lineage: Eukaryota; Viridiplantae; Streptophyta; Magnoliopsida; Zingiberales; Musaceae
Source: RefSeq, a predicted model, not a curated record